Molecule: unclassified non-coding RNA, 249 nt
Filed under: uncultured Tricholomataceae
Lineage: Eukaryota; Fungi; Basidiomycota; Agaricomycetes; Agaricales; Tricholomataceae
Description: sequence contains ITS2
Source: RNAcentral
AAUUCUCAACCAUUCGGGCUUAUGUCUGUAUGGCUUGGUUGUGAGGGAUGCGGGCUUUUGUUAGUCGGCUCUCUUGAAAUACAUUAGCUGGGAACUAGUAUUUGGUUCAAGUGCAUUGAUGCUUGAAGGCCUCCUGGUGUGAUAAUUAUCUACGCCGUUGGCUUAGUCUUUGCUUGUAUUGGCCUUAGAAUGUGUCCUGCUUCUAAUCGUCUACUUGUAGACUAAUCCUUAUGGAUUACUAUUUGACUA